This 424-nucleotide ribosomal RNA is filed under the name Verrucomicrobiota bacterium. RNAcentral's name for it is "Verrucomicrobia bacterium partial 16S ribosomal RNA". It matches the Rfam family "Bacterial small subunit ribosomal RNA", at positions 355 to 776 of the family's 1533-position model. The record is from RNAcentral. Lineage: Bacteria; Pseudomonadati; Verrucomicrobiota.
UGAGGAAUAUUGGCCAAUGGGCGAGAGCCUGAACCAGCCAAGUAGCGUGCAGGAUGACGGCCCUAUGGGUUGUCAACUGCUUUUAUAUGGGAAUAAAGUGAGGGACGUGUCCCUUAUUGCAUGUACCAUACGCAUAAGGACCGGCUAAUUCCGUGCCAGCAGCCGCGGUAAUACGGAAGGUCCAGGCGUUAUCCGGUUUUAUUGGGUUUAAAGGGAGCGUAGGCCGUUUGGUAAGCGUGUUGUGAAAUGUAGGAGCUCAACUUCUAGAUUGCAGCGCGAACUGUCAGACUUGAGUGCGCACAACGUAGGCGGAAUUCAUGGUGUGGCGGUGAAAUACUUAGAUAUCAUGAAGAACGCCGAUUGCGAAGGCAGCUUACGGGAGCGCAACUGACGCUGAAGCUCGAAGGUGCGGGUAUCGAACAGG